RNAcentral lists this non-coding RNA (29 nucleotides) under Rattus norvegicus (Norway rat). The record is from RNAcentral. Lineage: Eukaryota; Metazoa; Chordata; Mammalia; Rodentia; Muridae.
UAUCUACUCAUUGCCCACUACUGGAGAAU